This 774-nucleotide long non-coding RNA is filed under the name Numida meleagris (helmeted guineafowl). RNAcentral describes it as "lncRNA (ENSNMEG00000012626.1)". The record is from RNAcentral. Lineage: Eukaryota; Metazoa; Chordata; Aves; Galliformes; Numididae.
AUGCUGUCAAAAAGAAAAACUGGAACCAUGAGCAAAGAAACUGCCUAUUUUUUGUGUAUGCUUAAUUCUCUUGUGUUCAAAGAAGAGAAGGUUCUACACCCUCUACAAGAAUGGGAUCAGGAAUGUCUGCCUCUACCAUGUGUGUUUUCUGACAGAUGCGGGGCAUCUUUGAAUAAGAAAUCAAACAACUUUACAAGGAUUGAGGAAGAAUCCUGCAUAUGCUCCUAGUCAGGCUCUAAGGCACGACUUAAACCAAAAGUUUAUGGCUAUACAAAAUUAUCAGAAGUCUAAUAAGAACCCAGAGUUAUUUGGAAAGGACUUUUGAUCAUGCUGCAUCCUAAUUCCUAAUCCCUGGAGACAUUCAAGGCAAGGCUGGGCUGGGCUCUGAGCAACCUGAUUGAGCUGUAGGUGUCCCCAGUCAUUGCAGGAGAGUUGGACUGGGUGAUCUUUAAGGGUUUCUUCCAACUCAAAUGAUUCUGUGAUUCUGUUCUAAUUGUGUUCAGAAUUUAUUUAGACAAUGUGACUCCAUUUCAGAAUUCAUCAGAUACUUCACAUUCAUAUGGGAACCAGGAGUUAAACCUAUCAUUCAAAUUCAGACAGUUUAGCAAUCCAUUCCACUCCUGACCUCAGGUUGUCUGUUUUAGUUUAGUACUGUGUUUUAGCUACCCUCAAAAUAUUAACCUGCUUAUUAAACCAUGGGCCAUAUUAAAGUUGCACAUAUCCCCAGAAGAGAUGAAGUCAAUCUAAACACCAUCAAAAUGUGAAUGAAAGCUC